This is a long non-coding RNA of Drosophila navojoa, 3824 nucleotides long. The record is from RefSeq and is a predicted model, not a curated record. NCBI's taxonomy places the organism in Eukaryota, Metazoa, Arthropoda, Insecta, Diptera, Drosophilidae.
AGUUUCAUUUCAAUCUUCAAACGCUGAGGAUCAACAGCAGCAACAGUAGCAGCAGCAGCAGCAGCAGCUAGGAGCAGCAGCAGGAAACCACCGAGGACUUUGUGGACCAGCAACAGAUCCUCCAUCCUCCAGCGCAAUGCCCUAAAAGCGCUAAGGAGGCUGUUGCACGCGGCAUUACAAAAAAAAACAAAAACAAAAUCUAUCAAGUUUACUUUCAACCGUUCCGAAAACCACGAAUUCAAAAAACUACAAAAGUUUCAAAAAAUCACACAAGUUAAACCAAAAACCUAAAACGAAAAACCCAAAUACCAAAUAUAACCGAAAGUCAGAUUAAUUCUUAUUCACAAACUAAACACUAAACAAAACACUACGACAAAAAUAUUAAGUAAAAACUAUAAAAUCAGUUUGCAAAAGUAAACCAGAAACUCCAAUCCUAAUAUAGUUUUGCGAUAAGGUUUAAAAGCGGAAACAAAAAUAAUAAUAAAUGUUUAAUGCACAACGAACCAAAUUCCAUAACAGACACUAAAAAACUAUACAUAAAUACCUCAAAACUAUAUUCAACAAACAAAAAGAAAUAUAACAAAAUAUCAAAAGAAAUUAAGAAGUGCAAACAACUCGACAACAAUUGGAAAGUUUUCAAAGCUAACCUAAAAAGAGGACGAAAAAGGAAAUACCGCAUAGAUACUAAUAUUAUUUUUUAUAUUUUACAGGACCCCUCACAGUUGAGCAGACAGCUAGACGCCUUCGAUUGAAGCUAGCAUGGAUCAAACAGCUACAGCAACAAAUUCCAAUUGACACCCAGAAAAUUGUUAUGAAACUCAAAGAAAUUCUAAAAUGUUUAUUGCUCAUAUUUCUCUACUGCAACGACAAACGACAAAUCAACAAAUUCAUUAACAACAACAAAAGUCCAACUCAUCAAGAGAACCAAUCCAAAUCGAAACGCCUUAAGAGACUGCAAUGCAACUGCCAGCAGCCCCAAACCGAAGCACCGUGCCCCAAACAGCAGACCCGGCCACCAAAUCCUACAGAAUUCCGACAAAAAUUACAAGGAAGGAAACCCAAAUUCAAGUUAGCAACAACAAAAUCGAGAUUCGCAUAUAACGGCACAAUUGCUGCGACGGCGCCUGCUACGCUGAUGACGAUGAUGAUGAUGAAGACGAUGACAAAGCGUAAGAUCGAACAUUUGACGGCGAAAGCAGCAGGCAUCAGGAGCAGCGGCAGCAACAGCAGAAGCAGCAGCAGCGACGGCAACGUCGUCAUUUAUCUAAGGCAGCAGCUUAACGGGGACACAGUCGCCCCGCCAUAGAUAUUUGGCUGAAUAUCUAAGCAGGGGCGGCUGCCCCAGCAGCAACCCCUCGACAGGAAGGAAUCAAACACACACACACAUACCACCCCAACAAGCAAUCUAAGUUUCUGCGGCGAAUUCAACACAAACACAAGCACAACAUCACACACAGACACACACACACACACACGCAUACACAGAGAGAGCUACAGCCUAAGCAAGAGAAAUGGAGAGAGCAAGAGCGAGAGCAGCGAGCGCAGCACGAGAGAGCAUCUUUGGCAGCCCAAAAAGCGCACAACGAAAACAACAUUUCGCAAGUAUGUUUUGACCUUACGUUUUAGCUUAACGUUUUUCAGUUGCACUUUUAAAACCUUUCGAUUUCAAAGGCCGCUGCACAGCGUUAGCCAACAAAAACAAAUCGAAAUUAAUUAUCUCAAAAGUAAUAUUUAAAGAAAUUAAUACUCAAAACAACAACAAAAACAGCUAAAAGAGCUCAAAAUAUCCAAAGAAAUUCUAAAUUUCCACUUUCGGCUACUCUGGCAAGCAACAAUUUACAAAAUUCCACACUAACCGGCAAUCAAAAUUCAAAAUCAAUAUUUAAAAAUUCUAGUAUCCAAAACAACUCAAUUUCAGGUGAUCAAAAUCUGUGCAAAAUUAAUGCGAAAUCCGAAAUUAAAACCUAAAAAUCAUACAGAGCUCUGACUCAAUACAAAACCCCAAAAAAUAAAAGAAAAACUGAACAAAAACAAAAAGAAGCAAGUCCAGUAAACUCUUAGCUUUCGAAACACUCUGAGCAGUUCCGCCAAAGACCACAACAAAAUUAUAUUCAAUUCUAAAGAGCAAAAGACAAAUUAACUGAAAAGUCGCAGCAUUCGGAUGCCCUUUGGCGCAUAAUUAUUAUUAUUACACAUUAAGAUGACAAAUUGCAACGAAAUUCCCAAAAAGCAGCAUUAUAAAUUACAAGCACGAACGGAAGUUUUAAUGCGACAAAAAGUCAAGAACAAAAAGAAAAAAACAUCAUCAUCAUCAGCAGCAUCAUUAUCAUAACACACCAAAAACAAGAGGAACGCAAAAAGAAAUAACAAAAAAAAAAAAAAAAAAAAAAAAAAACAAGACUACAAGGAGCAAGCAACUGUCCUGGCAAACUUUCUGGCAAAAAUCUUACAAAUGGCGGCCUACUCAUUCGCCAGAGAAAUAGGACAAGGCAGAUAAAUCAACGCGAACAAAACAAUUCUGAACCAAAAACAACAACGAUUAUUGUAAAAACUUUCGCAUAGAAGGGGUUGAAAUUGAAAAUAAAUUCAGUAGCCAGAUUCAUACGCCAAAAUCCCUCAAGCACACUCACACACGCAUGCACACACACAACACACGCAGAGGCAGAGAUAGAAACACACACGCACAAGCCACAAAGCCAACGAUAGUUUUGGAUAGCUCAAAAUUGUAAACAUUUGAAAGCGAUUCUAAGAAGUCCUCGGGACGCAUUAUUUGCGCUUGACAGCAGCGAAGACAAAAAACAUACAGAGUUCACCAAAAUCCAAUUCAAAUUCCAAAUCCAAAUCGAAAUCAAAAUCAAAAUCAAAAGCGACAAAUGAAAACAGAAACACAGAACCAGCAGCCAGAACUUUAAACACACGAAAGACAUAUAUCAGGCAAAUCAGCACCCACUACACCCUUUAAACAAUGUGGUUAGUUUAGUUUUCUUUGGCAAAGAAAGUUCGAACCCCAUCAACAGCAGCAACAGCAGCAACAGCAGCAACAGCAGCAACAAAAGCAACAACAGCAACUCAGUCCCCCAAUGCAUGCAGUUGAAAGCACAUCAAACAAAACUGUAAAUUUAUAUAAACUACUGGCAAUAGAGGAGAGGUCGUAGCAUAAUUGCUAUCAAUAAAUAAAAUAUGGCUGAAUCGUGGGUAGGUAGCUCAUAUGCGCUCUAACUCUAAACUUCAAUCAAGUCAAAAACUCCCAACGACCACCAGACAGACAAAUUUUUGAUUUAGAAAUUCAUUGCGAAAGUUGCCUGGCCAAGCGGCAGCAUAAGCAACAGACUAACAACAACAACAACAGCAACCAUCAUCUAGAGACUUGGCAUCAACAACAACAGCAACAGCAACAAGAACAGCAACAGCAACAUGAGCAAAAAACCAUCUUUCUUUAUGAAAUUACACAUUUCCGACUUGUACAACGACAACAUUGUAGCCCAAAAAACCCAAAAAAGCAACAAAAACUAGCAAAAAGCAGCAAAAAGCAGCAAAAAGCGAAAGCAUCUAUGCAAAUGUAACCAAAUCUAAGGCAGACCAUACCGUUUUUCCAUACCAUUUGACGGCUUGACUGAAAAUUAAGUUACAUAUCUUAUUUACACACAACAAAACUUGAAGAACCAACCAUUUAGAAAAAAAAUGACUAACAAACUGACACGUUUCAUGCAUUUUGGAAAUCUGCAAAAUCAUCAAGAGAAGAAGCCAAAACAAACAAAUCGCAGCAAAUGGAAUCUUGUACAAUAUUUCUAUUGAAAAAUCCAUUUAGAAGCAAAAACAAAAAA